UACGAGGGGGGCAAGCGUUGUUCGGAAUUAUUGGGCGUAAAGGGCGCGUAGGCGGUGCGGUAAGUCACCUGUGAAAACUCUGGGCUCAACUCAGAGCCUGCAGGCGAAACUGCCGUGCUUGAGUGUGGGAGAGGUGCGUGGAAUUCCCGGUGUAGCGGUGAAAUGCGCAGAUAUCAGGAGGAACACCAAUAGCGAAGGCAGCUCGCUGGGACGGUACUGACGCUAAGGCGCGAAAGCGUGGGGAGCGAACAGG
This 253-nucleotide ribosomal RNA is filed under the name uncultured bacterium. Its description in RNAcentral is "partial 16S ribosomal RNA". It matches the Rfam family "Bacterial small subunit ribosomal RNA", at positions 524 to 776 of the family's 1533-position model. The record is from RNAcentral.